UGCUCUUCUCGAAAGCCCUGCUCAAAGAUUUUGCGCUUGUGUCUGAACUCAAUGACAGUCUUAGUGUAAGAGUUCAAGGUAGUAACGGAGGCCGCCAUGCAGCAGGUGAAAGAGCCCCAUGCCAGACUGUGGAGAGAGAAACCAGCAGACAGAGCUGGGUUAAGACAGCAGCUCAUGUUAUAUUUCUGACGCCAAGAGACACACAUACACCGGAUGCGACUAGGCAGAGGGGCUGACCUUGAACAUCCACUGAUCCUCAGACCCACUGAAACUCCCUGCCUGGAGAAUCCACUGGCCCACUCCCGGCUUUGCCAAUGGCUUGGAAAUGGGGACCGAGCCAUGUGUUUUGAACACUUGGACAUCUGAGAAGAUCACAAGCAGCCCAUCCUCAUUUUGAGGAGAGGUCUGCUACCAGCCUCUGGCAUGGCAUGAGGAACCCCAUGACCUUCCUCGGGCUCCUGUGAAGAUGCUGCUGCUGUUCACAUCUGUCUCAAGGGAGCUGGGACUGAGCUGAUGUUUGCACCCUGCCCAGCGUCCUGCAUGGACAGGUACAACCCCUCCGGUGAAGGGCAGAGCUGAUGUGCCCCGUUUGACUCUCAC
Molecule: long non-coding RNA, 600 nt
Organism: Grus americana (Whooping crane)
Lineage: Eukaryota; Metazoa; Chordata; Aves; Gruiformes; Gruidae
Exons: 4
Source: RefSeq, a predicted model, not a curated record